UCGUUCGAUUCGUGGUGUAGUUAUCGUAUGUAACAGACUUAGUUGGCCGGUUCACGGGAGAUCUGAUCGGAAACCAGUGACGUGUGGUACACGUGUUAUAUUAUAAUAACGCAGUGCAAGUGUUUCUCUAUUUGGCCCUGCCGCCUGUGUUCCGACAGGAGACCGUGUCGCUCGCUGACCACUGCCGGUUCAUCGUGUACACGUCGUUAUAUGGUGGUGGUGGUGGUGGUGGUUGAGCAGCCGGUGGAGGAGGGCGGGUGCGGGGCCCAGGGCGAUGUGGCUAGCAAGUGGGAAAACUCGAGGAGGUGAUAACGACUUCUGACCUUCCGUGAGAGUGCGUACCGCGGCGUAGAGGGCGCCGCCGUCGAUUGUCAAGCGAAAAGGCUCACCAUUCGGAAGAAAACGAGGAGGAAAAGGCGAAAAAAGAAGA
Molecule: long non-coding RNA, 430 nt
Organism: Apis dorsata (giant honeybee)
Lineage: Eukaryota; Metazoa; Arthropoda; Insecta; Hymenoptera; Apidae
Exons: 2
Source: RefSeq, a predicted model, not a curated record